Non-coding RNA from Callithrix jacchus (white-tufted-ear marmoset), 1557 nucleotides. The record is from RefSeq and is a predicted model, not a curated record. NCBI's taxonomy places the organism in Eukaryota, Metazoa, Chordata, Mammalia, Primates, Cebidae.
GCUCCCACCCCCACCCUCUAAGCAGCAGGAAAAGUCAGCCCAGAUCUACGUUGCCGUAAGUUUCUCACCUCUGUAUGCUCCUUGGACGGCCUUCCAAUUGCAGGCUCUUUUGUUCCCCUCACCGUGGGUAAGUCUUAGGUGGAAGCUGGAGCACUGAUGGCUUCUGGGGGUGUCCAGACUUGCGAUCCCAAGACACCCGGCCCCCUGCUCUUAUCCUCUCCUUUCAGGUCAGGUCUCAGAUCCGGAUUCUUUAAGGGCCAACUUUGCAUUCUGGGCAAGUGAAUGACAACUAGGGCACACCCUCUUCUCAACAGCCUGCACCUGAUCCCCUUUUAAAGGGGAAAUCACAUUUCUCGUUAAGACUGAAAGAGGCUGCCGAACCUUGGAGGAAAUUACUAUGUUGUUCUCAGGACAGCUGGAGGAAUUUCUGAAAGAGUAGGUAUAGACAUCAACGUGCCUGACUUCCCUGACUACCGUUACACUGAGAUUUUUGAUGGGACAAAGUCUUCAAAAGAGGGUGACGAGGCUAAGAAAAGGUUCUCCUGUUUGGUAACUGCAACAGCUGCUGUGGGUGUCGCAUCUGCUGCCAAGAAUGUCAUCUCCCAGCUUAUUUCCAGCAUCAAUGCUUCUGCUGAUGAGUUGGCCAUGUCGAAAAUUAAAAUCAAGUUAUCUGAUAUUCCAGAAGACAAGAACAUGGCUUUCAGAUGGAGAGGCAAACCCAUGUGUAUGCCAUAGAACCAAAAAGGAAACUGACCGAGAUGCUGCAGUUGAAGAGUCCCAGUUGAGGGCCCACAGCAUGAUUUAAGGGCCAGGCGCUGUGGCUCAUUCCUGUAAUCCCAGCACUUUGGGAGGCCGAGGUGGGUGGAUCACUUGAGGUCAGGAGUUUGAGACCAGCCUAGCCAACAUGGCGAAACACCAUCUCUAUUAAAAAUACAAAAAUUAGCUGGACAUGGUGGCAUGUGCUCAUAAUCCCACCUACUCAGGAGGCUGAGGCAGGAGAAUCGCUUGAACCCGGGAGGCAGAGGUUGCACUGAGCCAAGGUUGCGCCAUUGCACUCCAGCCUGGGAGACAGAGCAAGACUCUGUCUCAGAAAAUAAAAAAAUAAAUUAAUUGAACAAAGAAGUAAAGGAUGAGUGCAGUGCCUAUCAGGAUAACCCGUUCGGGUUUCUUUACUCGGCCUUUGCAUUCAUCCUCUUAUGCACCCACAGCGAAUGAAGGUUUUGCUGGAGAUUAUUGCCCUUGCUGUGGAUCACACAGAUGCAUCUGGCGGGAUCUGGAAAGGGCCUGCACCUCUUGACCUUGAACCUCCCUCAUAUGAGUUCACCAGUGAUGAAACAGUCACUGUGGGUUAGAGACUGCAACUCAAGUCAAAGGCUUCUUUCAGUCUUUGUGUCACCAGAAAGGAGUUAUUGAGAGCAAGCCUUCUGAACUUCAGUUGCUUGAUUGGCAAUAUUUAAGAAUUGAUAAUAAUGUGUUUGCAGACAUUACCGUGAAGUAAAUUGAAUUUACUGUUGAAUAUUUUCAAGCGUUCACUUAAUAAAACAACUGUUAAACAUU